RNAcentral lists this long non-coding RNA (260 nucleotides) under Carica papaya (papaya). Its description in RNAcentral is "long non-coding RNA (CPAP_LNC009679)". Lineage: Eukaryota; Viridiplantae; Streptophyta; Magnoliopsida; Brassicales; Caricaceae. The record is from RNAcentral.
UAUGACCAUGACUGUACUUACCGCAGUGGUCCUAUCAGAUAUUCUAUAGCCACACCAGUACUUAGCCAAAGGUGACCCUUAGCAGAUAUUUGCAUCAUCGCUCUCGUCAGAGGGUACGCCAUCAUCCAUAGGGAGUGGUCCUCUCACGUCUUUUUAGACCAGAUGGGAGAAGGAAAAAUAGAUAUCCCUCAGAGAUAAAGAUACUAAUGAGACACUUUAUGCAUUAUACAUGUUAAUACAGAUACAUAUAUUUUUUUCAG